AUUGAACGCUGGCGGCAUGCUUUACACAUGCAAGUCGAACGCGAAAGGGGGCAACCCUGAGUAGAGUGGCGAACGGGUGAGUAAUAUAUCGGAACGUGCCCAGUCGUGGGGGAUAACGCAGCGAAAGCUGUGCUAAUACCGCAUACGAUCUCUGGAUGAAAGCGGGGGACUCGCAAGAGCCUCGCGCGAUUGGAGCGGCCGAUAUCAGAUUAGCUAGUUGGUGGGGUAAAAGCCCACCAAGGCGACGAUCUGUAGCUGGUCUGAGAGGACGACCAGCCACACUGGAACUGAGACACGGUCCAGACUCCUACGGGAGGCUG
Molecule: ribosomal RNA, 320 nt
Filed under: uncultured Pseudomonadota bacterium
Lineage: Bacteria; Pseudomonadati; Pseudomonadota
Description: bacterial SSU rRNA
Rfam family: Bacterial small subunit ribosomal RNA
Source: RNAcentral